AGUCUAGCACGUGGGCGAGUCAGUGGGACAUUGCGAAACCCAAAGGCGAAGUUAAUGCGAAGGCCCGCCUCGUGCGCGGCCGAGGGAGGAUGGGCGCGGCCGCGGUCGCGCCCCGCACUCCCGGGGCGUCCCGUGCUCAUCGCGAGCUGGGGCGCACCCAGAGCCUACGCGCUAGGACCCGAAAGAUGGUGAACUAUGCCUGGUCAGGACGAAGUCAGGGGAAACCCUGAUGGAGGUCCGCAGCGAUUCUGACGUGCAAAUCGAUCGUCGGAGCUGGGUAUAGGGGCGAAAGACUAAUCGAACCAUCUAGUAGCUGGUUCCCUCCGAAGUUUCCCUCAGGAUAGCUGGCGCUCGUCGCCGACGAGUCUCAUCCGGUAAAGCGAAUGAUUAGAGGCAUCGGGGCCGAAACGGCCUCGACCUAUUCUCAAACUUUAAAUGGGUGAGAUCUCCGGCCCGCCCGAACACGGGGCCGCGAGAUCGGAUCAGAGUGCCAAGUGGGCCAUUUUUGGUAAGCAGAACUGGCGCUGUGGGAUGAACCAAACGCCGGGUUAAAGCGCCCAAGUCGACGCUCAUGGGACACCAUGAAAGGCGUUGGUAACUUAUGACAGCAGGGCGGUGGCCAUGGAAGUCGGAAUCCGCCAAGGAGUGUGUAACAACUCACCUGCCGAAGUUACUAGCCCUGAAAAUGGAUGGCGCUGAAGCGUCGCGCUCAUACCCGGCCGUCAGCGGCACGUGCGGUCGCGUCGCAAGGCGCGGCCAUGAAGCCCUGACGAGUAGGAGGGUCGCGACGGUGAGCGCCGAAGGGCUGGCCGCGAGGCCGUCCGGAGCCGCCGUCGGUGCAGAUCUUGGUGGUAGUAGCAAAUACUCCAGCGAGGCCCUGGAGGACUGACGUGGAGAAGGGUUUCGUGUGAACAGCCGUUGCACACGAGUCAGUCGAUCCUAAGCCCUAGGCGAGAGCCGAUGUUGAUGUGACGCCGUACACGAGAGAGAACAACUGUGUUUUUCUGUUCGGAACGCGUCCGUCGGGCGAAAGGGAAUCCGGUUCCUAUUCCGGAACCCGGCAGCGGAACCGCAACCAAAUCGGGCCCUCGCAAGAGAGUUCGUCGGGGUAACCCAACAGGACCCGGAGACGCCGUCGGGAGGUGCGGGAAGAGUUUUCUUUUCUGCAUGAGCGUUCGAGUUCCAUGGAAUCCUCCAGCAGGGAGAUAUGGUUUGGAACGCGAAGAGCACCGCAGUUGCGGCGGUGUCCGCACCUUCCCCUCGGACCUUGAAAAUCCGGGAGAGGGCCACGUGGAGGCGUCGCGCCGGCUCGUACCCAUAUCCGCAGCA
This 1329-nucleotide ribosomal RNA is filed under the name Afrorylon sp. CO929. RNAcentral's name for it is "eukaryotic LSU rRNA". It matches the Rfam family "Eukaryotic large subunit ribosomal RNA", at positions 672 to 1861 of the family's 3401-position model. Lineage: Eukaryota; Metazoa; Arthropoda; Insecta; Coleoptera; Cerylonidae. The record is from RNAcentral.